RNAcentral lists this ribosomal RNA (252 nucleotides) under uncultured bacterium. Its description in RNAcentral is "partial 16S ribosomal RNA". It matches the Rfam family "Bacterial small subunit ribosomal RNA", at positions 525 to 776 of the family's 1533-position model. The record is from RNAcentral.
ACGAAGGGGGCUAGCGUUGCUCGGAAUCACUGGGCGUAAAGGGCGCGUAGGCGGACUCUUAAGUCGGGGGUGAAAGCCCAGGGCUCAACCCUGGAAUUGCCUUCGAUACUGAGAGUCUUGAGUUCGGAAGAGGUUGGUGGAACUGCGAGUGUAGAGGUGAAAUUCGUAGAUAUUCGCAAGAACACCAGUGGCGAAGGCGGCCAACUGGUCCGAUACUGACGCUGAGGCGCGAAAGCGUGGGGAGCAAACAGG